Schistocerca serialis cubense is the source of this 2888-nucleotide long non-coding RNA. RefSeq lists it as uncharacterized. The record is from RefSeq and is a predicted model, not a curated record. The transcript is spliced from 3 exons. NCBI's taxonomy places the organism in Eukaryota, Metazoa, Arthropoda, Insecta, Orthoptera, Acrididae.
AAGACGUACGGCUGCCAGAAAGAUGUCGAGCCACUCAAGGAAAACUGAAAUGAGCCACUCACAGGUUGUGAUGCUCUGUGAGCUGGUCUCGCAACACCUUGCCUUUACGAUUUGAAGAACCCUAAAUAUAGGGACACUUUGUUCAGAGACAGAAUUUGGGAAGAAAUUAGUGCACAGUUCAAACUGGCAGGACGUCUACUUCUACUUGGGUAUCCACGUCCAGGUUCAGAAGAAAAUACUAGAGCAAGAAAAUCGGAAUUCUUAUUUGAAUCCGCCGACCAGAGCUUGGGAAACAGCGACGACACCUGUCGCGUUGCGUCCUUGUCGCCGUCUGUCAGAGUGGGAAAAGAGGAGGGGGCAGCGUCGCAGUCGCAGCCAACUGUCGCGUCUUGGACAACGUAACUUAAGACUAUCCAGUGAGUUCUGUGUUUUUGUGAGGAGUUUGCCAGUUGACACAGUUACAGUGUGUUCUGUGAAAAGGACUGUUUGAAAUGUCUUCUGACUGGGGCCACAAGAGAGAAGUGUGCCAACUAUUUGCAUAUCCACAAAAAGAGUGGCAUACAAGACAAACAAAAAAACAGACUUUGUUCAGGUUGGGAAUAAGUGUUCUCAUUUGAAGCCUGUUUCAAAACGAACAUGUUUCAAGUGAUGACUUUUUGGGUUCUAAAUAUUUUGACAGAAUAACAACAAUGAUAGUAUCUGAACAUGGUGAAGCCUCCCAUGGUGCAGAUGACACAGAUUUUGCAUGUAUAGAGGAAGAAUUAAAUACCCUGAAUCAGUCAACUACAGAUGUAGGUGUCAGUCCUGUUAAGAAACCGUGGUCAGUGAAGUUGAGUCAUAAGCUCUAUUAUCAAGAAAGCACAGAUAAAUUACUAAAGUUAUGGAUGAAUAUGCUACAGCAAAACUGACCACACUCUUCAAAGUAGAAAUUCCAUCUUCAGAAGAUAAUGAACCAAAGCACUCUUGCCAGGAAUUUUUCACAAAUAUUAAUUCAGUUGUUGAAUACUGACCAUCCUACAGUGGGAAAGUGCAAGUUUCCAAAGAAAACAAUUUUGAACCACAUUCCAUCAGUAUCAAAGUACGUGGUAGACAAAUCAAGAAAUGUGAGUUCUGUAAAACAAGUCUUUGGAAGCCCAGAUAUCUAUUAUGGUCAUCCUGUAGAAGCACCUCAAGUUCAAAUCAGGAAGAUAAAUGGGACUGUUAUCGCCAGAGUGCCAACAAAAAAGACACUAUAACUGUAACAGUUGAAGAUCAAAAAGUUGUGAAAGUGAAGAGGGUACAUGACUCGCAGCAUUAAAGAAAAUUUUGCAAUUUAUAAGAGCAACUAUACAACUUCACAUAUAGGAAGAUCAAAAUUUUAUGCACUACAACCUAAGUGGGUAGUUCCACACCUACUUAGGGAUGUCUGUUUAUGUGUGUACUGUGUGCAAUUUUGAACUCUUGAAGAGCUUACAGGAGCACGUGACAUAGGACACAUUAGUUGGGCGUGUGAAGUCAUUAGUAGUCUGUGACAUAAAGCGAGAGACUUGUUUGUUUCAAGAAUGUGGAGACUGCCUUGGAAAGGAAAGACUGUCUUUACAGACACUUGGCCUGGAAGAAGUACCAGAUAACUCUGCAGAAAUUACAUAUGCGACAUGGGAGGAAAACAAACUAAUUAAGAAAACUGUUGCCUUUGACAGUUUCAUUGACAAAUUUGGUAAAUGCUCAGUGAACACCAGCAUCUGAAGAAAUUUCAACAACAUCACAUUGCAGAAGUCAAAGGGUGUGUACAGGCUGAACAACUAUGUUUAGUGAUUCACUGUGAUUUUACUGAGAACUGGUCCGUAAUCCUCCCACAUGAAGUACAAGGGUAUCAUUGGAGUAAUGACCAGGUUUCAAUUUUCAUAGGCGUGACAUAUUUUCAAAACAAGACCACAAGUGUUGCAGUUAUAAGUGAUGACACAUGAUAUUACUCAGCACAUGCUUUGCUAGCAACGCGCAAAAUUCUUCAACUGCAAACAGGGGCAGAGAAGAUCAUCAUUAUUUCUGGUAGUGCUCCUAGUCAUUUUAAAAACUGUUACUGUUUGAAUUGAGUAAGUUGCUUGUGCCAGCUGACUGGGUAUACAGUGCUACUAUUCAUGGGAAGGGGCCUUGUGAUGGUGUAGGAGGCCUGCUGAAGCACCAUGCUACAAAACAAUCUUUCCAGACGAAAUACAGCUGUGAUUGAGAAUGCUGAAGAUUUUACGAGAGUCGUGAAAUCUUACUCAUCCACAGCCCUCAUUCUCUUGUCCAAAGAGGAAAUCGAAGAAUUCUGUGAGCAGAUAAAAGAAGACUGGUCCAAACAAACUACUCCUGUGAAAGGAAUUCAGAAGACACAUUUUUGGACUCAAAGUGAUGUGUGAACUCAUAUUUACUUUAAAGAGCAAGAAAGAUGAAAUUUCAUUUGUUUGGCCAGCACCUCAGAAACAACAGGAUAAUAUUCAGAUUCACAAUCUGAGAAGGGGGAUGUUUGUGGCACGUGUGUAUGAGUGUGACUGGUGUAUUGCAGAGAUUAUAGACACAAGUUAUGAGUUAAACAAAACUGUAGUGAACUUUAUGCUACCACAUGGACCAGCUGCUGGACAUAGGUUUCCAGCUGAUGGACAGCAACAAUGGCAUCAGUGCUCACUUCCUGUUCACAAUGUUUUGAAGGGCUCCAGUUCCUAUUGGUAGUAAAGAAAGGCAUCACUUUACAUCAAAGGAAGAUACUGAAGCAGUGGAAUACAUUUUUAGUUCAUUGACUGGCUAAUUUGAGUACAAAACAGAGUGCACAGAAGUUGUAUAAAUUGAAACCUUUUAGUCUUUGGACCUUCCACAUACAGUUUGGAACCAUUUAAAAUGUUUGAAAAAUGAGACUCUUACUCAUCUUU